UACGUAGGGGGGCGAGCGUUGUCCGGAUUUAUUGGGCGUAAAGAGCUCGUAGGCGGCUUGGCAAGUCGGGUGUGAAACCUCCAGCUCAACCUGGAGACGCCACUCGAUACUGCCAUGGCUAGAGUCCGGUAGGGGACCACGGAAUUCCUGGUGUAGCGGUGAAAUGCGCAGAUAUCAGGAAGAACACCUAUGGCGAAGGCAGCUCUCUGGGACGGUACUGACGCUGAGACGCGAAAGCGUGGGGAGCGAACAGG
This 254-nucleotide ribosomal RNA is filed under the name uncultured bacterium. RNAcentral describes it as "partial 16S ribosomal RNA". It matches the Rfam family "Bacterial small subunit ribosomal RNA", at positions 524 to 776 of the family's 1533-position model. The record is from RNAcentral.